AGUGAACGCUGGCGAUAGGCCCAACACAUGCAAGUCGAACGGCAGCACAGUAAGAGCUUGCUCUUACGGGUGGCGAGUGGCGGACGGGUGAGGAAUACAUCGGAAUCUACUUUUUCGUGGGAGAUAACGUAGGGAAACUUACGCUAAUACCGCAUACGACCUACGGGUGAAAGCAGGGGAUCUUCGGACCUUGCGCGAUUGAAUGAGCCGAUGUCGGAUUAGCUAGUUGGCGGGGUAAAGGCCCACCAAGGCGACGAUCCGUAGCUGGUCUGAGAGGAUGAUCAGCCACACUGGAACUGAGACACGGUCCAGACUCCUACGGGAGGCAGCAGUGGGGAAUAUUGGACAAUGGGCGCAAGCCUGAUCCAGCCAUACCGCGUGGGUGAAGAAGGCCUUCGGGUUGUAAAGCCCUUUUGUUGGGAAAGAAAAGCAGCAGGUUAAUACCCCGCUGUUCUGACGGUACCCAAAGAAUAAGCACCGGCUAACUUCGUG
RNAcentral lists this ribosomal RNA (492 nucleotides) under uncultured bacterium. RNAcentral's name for it is "partial 16S ribosomal RNA". It matches the Rfam family "Bacterial small subunit ribosomal RNA", at positions 29 to 507 of the family's 1533-position model. The record is from RNAcentral.